Conidiobolus coronatus NRRL 28638 is the source of this 72-nucleotide transfer RNA. It matches the Rfam family "tRNA". Rfam says of the family: Transfer RNA (tRNA) molecules are approximately 80 nucleotides in length. Their secondary structure includes four short double-helical elements and three loops (D, anti-codon, and T loops). Further hydrogen bonds mediate the characteristic L-shaped molecular structure. tRNAs have two regions of fundamental functional importance: the anti-codon, which is responsible for specific mRNA codon recognition, and the 3' end, to which the tRNAs corresponding amino acid is attached (by aminoacyl-tRNA synthetases). tRNAs cope with the degeneracy of the genetic code in two manners: having more than one tRNA (with a specific anti-codon) for a particular amino acid; and 'wobble' base-pairing, i.e. permitting non-standard base-pairing at the 3rd anti-codon position. The record is from Rfam. Lineage: Eukaryota; Fungi; Entomophthoromycota; Entomophthoromycetes; Entomophthorales; Conidiobolaceae.
GCGCUAGUAGUAUAAUGGUUAGAAUACUCGCCUUCCAAGCAAGUGGUCUGGGUUCGAUUCCCAGCUAGCGCA